RNAcentral lists this ribosomal RNA (960 nucleotides) under Didymella glomerata. RNAcentral describes it as "eukaryotic LSU rRNA". It matches the Rfam family "Eukaryotic large subunit ribosomal RNA", at positions 68 to 1048 of the family's 3401-position model. Lineage: Eukaryota; Fungi; Ascomycota; Dothideomycetes; Pleosporales; Didymellaceae. The record is from RNAcentral.
ACAGGGAUUGCCCUAGUAACGGCGAGUGAAGCGGCAACAGCUCAAAUUUGAAAUCUGGCGUCUUCGGCGUCCGAGUUGUAAUUUGCAGAGGGCGCUUUGGCAUUGGCAGCGGUCCAAGUUCCUUGGAACAGGACGUCACAGAGGGUGAGAAUCCCGUACGUGGUCGCUAGCCUUUACCGUGUAAAGCCCCUUCGACGAGUCGAGUUGUUUGGGAAUGCAGCUCUAAAUGGGAGGUAAAUUUCUUCUAAAGCUAAAUACUGGCCAGAGACCGAUAGCGCACAAGUAGAGUGAUCGAAAGAUGAAAAGCACUUUGGAAAGAGAGUUAAAAAGCACGUGAAAUUGUUGAAAGGGAAGCGCUUGCAGCCAGACUUGCCUGUAGUUGCUCAUCCGGGUUUUUACCCGGUGCACUCUUCUAUAGGCAGGCCAGCAUCAGUUUGGGCGGUUGGAUAAAGGUCUCUGUCAUGUACCUCUCUUCGGGGAGAACUUAUAGGGGAGACGACAUGCAACCAGCCUGGACUGAGGUCCGCGCAUCUGCUAGGAUGCUGGCGUAAUGGCUGUAAGCGGCCCGUCUUGAAACACGGACCAAGGAGUCUAACAUCUAUGCGAGUGUUUGGGUGUCAAGCCCGAGCGCGUAAUGAAAGUGAACGGAGGUGGGAACCUUUCGGGGUGCACCAUCGACCGAUCCUGAUGUCUUCGGAUGGAUUUGAGUAAGAGCAUAGCUGUUGGGACCCGAAAGAUGGUGAACUAUGCUUGAAUAGGGUGAAGCCAGAGGAAACUCUGGUGGAGGCUCGCAGCGGUUCUGACGUGCAAAUCGAUCGUCAAAUUUGGGCAUAGGGGCGAAAGACUAAUCGAACUAUCUAGUAGCUGGUUCCUGCCGAAGUUUCCCUCAGGAUAGCAGUAACGUUUUCAGUUUUAUGAGGUAAAGCGAAUGAUUAGAGGCCUGGGGGUUGAAACAACCUU